GACUCGGUAGCUCAGUUGGUAGAGCAAAUGACUCUUAAUCAUUGGGUCGAGGGUUCGAGCCCCUCCCGGGUCA
Non-coding RNA from Parabacteroides goldsteinii dnLKV18, 73 nucleotides. The record is from Rfam. NCBI's taxonomy places the organism in Bacteria, Pseudomonadati, Bacteroidota, Bacteroidia, Bacteroidales, Tannerellaceae.